This 732-nucleotide ribosomal RNA is filed under the name Triticum aestivum (bread wheat). Its description in RNAcentral is "partial small subunit ribosomal RNA". Lineage: Eukaryota; Viridiplantae; Streptophyta; Magnoliopsida; Poales; Poaceae. The record is from RNAcentral.
AUGAAGAAGGGAAGGAAGAGGUGGCGGGAUCCUGCGCGGCUGGAUUGGUGCCCCGGUGGUGCUACUGCUGCCGUUGGACGCCGGUCGAAGGGACAAGUCCCUAGAGAAGGACAGGGUUCAAGUUGUUGGGCCGGUGGCAGGGGCAGCAUGAUGUUUUCGUCAGGUGUGGAUUGGAAUCAGUUUUUUUUGCUGCACCCCCAUUCCGACGAGGCCAAGCAACCUAGCUCGGUCAUCCUUAAGUGUGUUUGUGUCCACCACCUGAUGAAGAACGGGGAGAAGAUUGCUGACUUUGUGCCUAAUGAUGGUUGCCUGAACUUCGUAGAGCAAAUUGACGAGGUGUUGAUUGCUGAAUUUGGUCUUAAGAGGCACGUCGUGGGAAAUAUCCCUUGUGGCAGGUUCAAAGUUGUGAUGGUAUCUGGUGUCUCCCAGCGAGAUUUGUUCCUUCUCUUAACAGUUACUAUUAAGAACAAAUUUAUGUUUCCAUCAAAAAAGUUGGCCGGCCCCAGCAAAAAAAAGAACAGUUCCAGCAAAAAAAGAUCGCCGCCGUGGUCACAGGGAAAUAAGGAAGGGAAGAAACAAAUAGGGAACAAUCAGACGAAGCAUCAAGGAAAAUGGAUUGAACAAUCAGAUGAAGCAUCCAUCUCGAGGAGAAGCAUGGUCUGCAAGGAGACCAAUCAUCUUGAGGUGGUUCUUUCAGCUACUGCAUGUUCCAUUAUGGAGAAGGGUACUUAG